AUUGAACGCUGGCGGCAUGCCUAACACAUGCAAGUCGAACGGCAGCACAGUAAAGACUUCGGUCUUUAUGGGUGGCGAGUGGCGGACGGGUGAGUAACGCGUAGGAAUCUGUCCUGGAGGUCGGAAUAACCCGAGGUAACGCGGGCUAAUACCGCAUGAUAUCGAGAGAUCAAAAGCCGGGGACCCUUCGGGCCCUUGCGCGCUAGGAUGAGCCUACGUCGGAGUAGCUAGUUGGCGGGGUAAAGGCCUACCAAGGCGACGAUCGGUAGAUGGUCUGAGAGGGUGAACAGCCGCACUGGGACUGAGACACGGCCCAGACUCCUGCGGGAGGCAGCAGUGGGGAAUCUUGGACAAUGGGGGAAACCGUGAUCCAGCGAUGCCGCGUGUGUGAAGAAGGCCUUCGGGUUGUAAAGCACUUUAGUUGGGGAAGAAAAGUAAUAAGUGAAUAAGUGAUUGCUCUGACGGUACCCAAAGAAUAAGCACCGGCUAACUCUGUGCCAGCAGCCGCAGUAA
This 513-nucleotide ribosomal RNA is filed under the name uncultured bacterium. Its description in RNAcentral is "partial 16S ribosomal RNA". It matches the Rfam family "Bacterial small subunit ribosomal RNA", at positions 29 to 523 of the family's 1533-position model. The record is from RNAcentral.